CACUUUAGCAGCAGUAGUUUUUUGGGAGGCUUAUAGCUUUGUCAUGUAAAACAGGGGACUUAAACAGAGGUUGCUUUUUCUCGAUUUGGUAGAAAACAUGUUGUAUUUGAUUUUUGCAGAAUGGCAUCAAGAUCAAAAACAAUCUCUGUGCAGAUGAUAAAAUACUUUUAUUACGGCAGAGCUUACUGAAUGUGUUGCAGGGUGAAAUCAGCAAAAUGUGCAGUGUGGCAGGUUCUGUAGGACGAAUGACCUGGCUUCUCCAACCAAGGGAGCCAAAGCACAUUCUGGGUCACAGAUCAUGGAGGACAGAGAGGAUC
Long non-coding RNA from Homo sapiens (human), 317 nucleotides. The record is from Ensembl. NCBI's taxonomy places the organism in Eukaryota, Metazoa, Chordata, Mammalia, Primates, Hominidae.